This is a non-coding RNA of Cricetulus griseus (Chinese hamster), 343 nucleotides long. Lineage: Eukaryota; Metazoa; Chordata; Mammalia; Rodentia; Cricetidae. The record is from Rfam.
GGAAGUGAGGGCAUUCUGGCUCAGAUAUUUUUCACCCCAUUGACCGCCAUGGUUGAUUCAGCUGAACCAGCUGGCUAAGCAGGUGUCCCUUCCCCCCUCACAGCUGCAUGGUCCUCCCUCAGAAGCUGCAUGCUAGGUCGAAGAUGAUGACCUGCCCCCAAAUAGAGGAGGGCCAUUCUUCAGAGAAGGAUAUAUGUUGAGCUGCACUCCCCUGCUAGAACCUCCAAACAAGCUCUCAAGACCAACACUAUUCUUAUACAAUUUGAUCUCUCAUCAUUUUUUCCUUAAAAUUCCUUCAUUUUCUAAAUUAUGUUGUUGUGAUACCAUAAUGGUUUAGAUUUUU